CUCUGCGUUGCCUCUCUCUGCGUUAUUAUAAGGUGUGUUAAGUAGUAUUAUUCCUAUCAGUUUAAUCCCUGUUACGUCCCCCAGGGGACGUGUAUAUGGCAUCGAUUUUAGGAACCGGGAGAUGGAAAAAGAUGCUUGGUCGGUCCUCCUACUUCAAAUUUGGGGCACUGCGCAUGCAAUCUAAUGUGCCACCAGAUAGGAGUGGUGUGUUAAGUAGUACUAUUCUUAUCAGUUUAAUCCCUGUUACGUCCCCUAUCCGUUGAUGUGGAGCAAGAC
Pelobates cultripes (western spadefoot toad) is the source of this 276-nucleotide non-coding RNA. Lineage: Eukaryota; Metazoa; Chordata; Amphibia; Anura; Pelobatidae. The record is from the annotation of a GenBank genome assembly.